UAGGGAAUCUUCGGCAAUGGACGAAAGUCUGACCGAGCAACGCCGCGUGAGUGAAGAAGGUUUUCGGAUCGUAAAACUCUGUUGUUAGAGAAGAACAAGGACGUUAGUAACUGAACGUCCCCUGACGGUAUCUAACCAGAAAGCCACGGCUAACUACGUGCCAGCAGCCGCGGUAAUACGUAGGUGGCAAGCGUUGUCCGGAUUUAUUGGGCGUAAAGCGAGCGCAGGCGGUUUCUUAAGUCUGAUGUGAAAGCCCCCGGCUCAACCGGGGAGGGUCAUUGGAAACUGGGAGACUUUAGUGCAGAAGAGGAGAGUGGAAUUCCAUGUGUAGUGGUGCUAUGCGUAGAUAUAUGGAGGAACACCAGCGGCGAAGGCGGCUCUCUGGUCUGUAACUGACGCUGAGGCUCGAAAGCGUGGGGAGCAAACAGG
Molecule: ribosomal RNA, 429 nt
Filed under: Gemmatimonadota bacterium
Lineage: Bacteria; Pseudomonadati; Gemmatimonadota
Description: Gemmatimonadetes bacterium partial 16S ribosomal RNA
Rfam family: Bacterial small subunit ribosomal RNA
Source: RNAcentral